GACGAAGGGGGGCUAGCGUUGUUCGGAAUUACUGGGCGUAAAGCGCGUGUAGGCGGUUGCCAUAGUCAGGUGUGAAAGCCUUGAGCUUAACUCAAGAAAUGCACUUGAUACUGGGCGACUAGAGGACCGGAGAGGAUAGUGGAAUUCCCAGUGUAGUGGUGAAAUACGUAGAGAUUGGGAAGAACACCAGUGGCGAAGGCGGCUAUCUGGACGGUUACUGACGCUAAGACGCGAAAGCGUGGGGAGCAAACAGG
This 254-nucleotide ribosomal RNA is filed under the name uncultured bacterium. RNAcentral's name for it is "partial 16S ribosomal RNA". It matches the Rfam family "Bacterial small subunit ribosomal RNA", at positions 524 to 776 of the family's 1533-position model. The record is from RNAcentral.